GACAUGGUGCACAUGGAUUUAAUGGGUUUUAUGAAGGUGAUGUUGAUGCAGAGGAGAUAUUUAGAAACUUUUUCUUCGGUGGAAUGGCGCCUACGACAACACAUUUCCGUACUUUCAAUUUUGGUACUGGAAUGGGAAACAGGACAGCUGAUCAGGGCUCAGGUGGUGGUUUUAGAACUCUGAUUCAAUUGCUUCCUGUGCUGUUAAUAUUGCUUUUGAACUUCUUGCCAUCCUCAGAACCUAUAUAUGCUCUUUCCCGUUCCUACCCUUAUGAAUUCCAGUUUACCACUCAAAAGGGUGUCAAUUUUUUUGUGAAAUCAACAAAUUUUGAGGAAAAGUAUCCACCUGGUAGCCCGGAUCGUAUAGCAAUUGAUCGUCACAUAGAGAGGGAUUAUUUUAACAUUCUUGCUCAGAAUUGUCG
RNAcentral lists this long non-coding RNA (421 nucleotides) under Cucumis sativus (cucumber). RNAcentral describes it as "long non-coding RNA (CSAT_LNC000269)". Lineage: Eukaryota; Viridiplantae; Streptophyta; Magnoliopsida; Cucurbitales; Cucurbitaceae. The record is from RNAcentral.